GAAAUGCGAUAACUAAUGUGAAUUGCAGAAUUCAGUGAAUCAUCGAGUCUUUGAACGCACAUUGCGCCCCCUGGUAUUCCGGGGGGCAUGCCUGUCCGAGCGUCAUUGCUGCCCUCAAGCCCGGCUUGUGUGUUGGGUCGCCGUCCCCCUCUCCGGGGGGACGGGCCCGAAAGGCAGCGGCGGCACCGCGUCCGAUCCUCGAGCGUAUGGGGCUUUGUCACAUGCUCUGCAGGAUUGGCCGGCGCCUGCCGACGUUUUCCAACCAUUCUUUCCAGGUUGACCUCGGAUCAGGUAGGGAUACCCGCUGAACUUAAGC
This 316-nucleotide unclassified non-coding RNA is filed under the name plant metagenome. RNAcentral describes it as "partial contains 5.8S ribosomal RNA, internal transcribed spacer 2, and large subunit ribosomal RNA". The stretch from base 1 to 105 matches the Rfam family "5.8S ribosomal RNA", at positions 50 to 154 of the family's 154-position model. The record is from RNAcentral.